Molecule: transfer RNA, 87 nt
Filed under: Omnitrophica WOR_2 bacterium RIFCSPHIGHO2_02_FULL_45_21
Lineage: Bacteria; Pseudomonadati; Candidatus Omnitrophota
Description: tRNA-Ser
Rfam family: tRNA
About the family: Transfer RNA (tRNA) molecules are approximately 80 nucleotides in length. Their secondary structure includes four short double-helical elements and three loops (D, anti-codon, and T loops). Further hydrogen bonds mediate the characteristic L-shaped molecular structure. tRNAs have two regions of fundamental functional importance: the anti-codon, which is responsible for specific mRNA codon recognition, and the 3' end, to which the tRNAs corresponding amino acid is attached (by aminoacyl-tRNA synthetases). tRNAs cope with the degeneracy of the genetic code in two manners: having more than one tRNA (with a specific anti-codon) for a particular amino acid; and 'wobble' base-pairing, i.e. permitting non-standard base-pairing at the 3rd anti-codon position.
Source: RNAcentral
GGAGAGGUGGCUGAGUGGUUGAAAGCGGCAGUCUUGAAAACUGCUGUGGGGGUAACUCCACCGUGAGUUCAAAUCUCACCCUCUCCG